Long non-coding RNA from Drosophila eugracilis, 1856 nucleotides. RefSeq lists it as uncharacterized. Lineage: Eukaryota; Metazoa; Arthropoda; Insecta; Diptera; Drosophilidae. The transcript is spliced from 2 exons. The record is from RefSeq and is a predicted model, not a curated record.
ACACACUACAUUGGCACACACGCCAAGUGCAAAACAAUCAAUUUCAGGCACUUUUUAACAGCAAUUAAAUCACUCGCUUGGCAAUAUUCCUUAAAUUUAUUAGUUUACGCGUCCGACUAUAGAUUCGAACUUUAUUUUUAGCCGUUUUCUGCUGUUUUUGCCGUUUCGUUUAGUUUUUUCCCUUCCACCGUUUUGGUCGUGAGUAGUUACUUUGCCGCCGUUUUGGCACUCACAGCAACAGCGAAAAUAGAGAAGAGGCGAACAGGCCGCAGAGCGCAACAAAAAAAAAAAGAGAGCAUGUAUGAGGCUCUCAUUUUCUAGUUCGAAAAUCGAGAGAGCGCACGGUUCACACACAUACACAUAUGCAUAGAGACUUAAGAAUAGAGCUGUCCUGCUUGCACUUGUGAAAAAGAAAAAACAGGCAAAUGGCGCACGACAAACGCUGGAAAAUAUAAUUAUAAAACUAAAAAAAAACUCUUUUAAUAAUCACAAUAAAGAUUUAUAAAUGCUAACUGAAAAACUAAAGAAUAACUGAAUCACAUACAAACUAAUCUGGGGACGGACACACGAAGAAUAUGGCGUGUUGUGUUUGCAUUCAGAGAAAUUCACCACGCCGCCUUUUUUUAAGUUGAAUUCUUGCCAUUCUACAUGAUUCAUUCGCUUUGUUUGUUGUUGUUGCUGCGCUAAUGCAAACGCCAUGCCAAAAAGGCAAUAAAAUGCACGUAAUUCCAACGUUUCUCACAUUUUAUUUAACACCCUCGACUAAGUGCGAUAAAAAGACUGAUGGGAAGGGAAAAGAGAGAGGGGUGUCAGCGAGGAAGAGGAAGAACACGCGCGCACACACACACAUUUGAAUAGUUUUCCUUUUGCCGAUAUUCCAAAUUGACAGUGGAACAACUGACAGUCAAGUUACAAAUAAAUAUUCAUUGUACAGACGGUUGAAAACUAUUGUUCUUAUAUUAUCUUACAUUUUUAAUUCACAUUAAUUUUAAUAUUUCAAUAUGUCAGACAAAAAAAUUUUGAUUUGCAUUUUUUUACCAAAUUGUUUAUUGACCAACUUUUUUUUUUGUUUUUGUUGAUGUUGCGAAUUUAUUUACACUCGCCCGCACACUUAUCCACUUGUGUGUGUGCCGCCGGCCGGCAAGCGAUUUUUGCUCUUCUCUUUCUUUUCUUUUCUUUUCUGAUCGCUUUCACUUCGAGCUUUACAGUUAUCAGCUGUAUUUUUGAACCUGCAUUUAAUUAUCCGUUUUGGCCCACUGUGUUUUUGUUAAUUUCCAAGUGUGCUUAUGCGAUUUGGUUAGUGUUCGUGAGUUUGUGACGUAAAAUUAAACGGAAGAAUAUAACGAAUACUAACGAAUGUUGACAGAAAGGCCAGCCAAUGAAUAUGACGUAUUUGGCCCAUUUUAAACUCGACUAGCCACAAAUAAAAUUGGAAUAUUAGGAAUAACACAUAUUAAAUACACAAUAGCGGGCGGCUCUCUAUCGCGCUCUCACAAUAAAACAAAACAUUACUGGCUCUCACACACACACAGAACAAAAGAGAGCAAGACUUGAGAGAGAGAGAGCGAGAGCGGGCGAACGUGCGGUUGUAAUUAUGUAGUACAGUAGACUUUGAGUUUUCAACAGAAAUUCACGUAGAACGAUACGAUGACGUACAGAAGAGGAAGAAGCAGAAGUAGCGGAUGAAGAAGAAGCAAGGACAGCAACGGCAUGCAUUGGAAAUGAACAUAAAAAUUGGAAAUGGAAAACCUGAGCAAAAACAAAAUGCACUUCCUCUUUAACAAAUAAACAAAGGUCAACAGUUUGUAGGAGAAAAGAUUGGAAAUAAAUAAUAGCCUAACUCGUUUAUUAAACCA